This 521-nucleotide ribosomal RNA is filed under the name uncultured bacterium. RNAcentral's name for it is "bacterial SSU rRNA". It matches the Rfam family "Bacterial small subunit ribosomal RNA", at positions 987 to 1509 of the family's 1533-position model. The record is from RNAcentral.
UCCAGCGAACUUGGCAGAGAUGCCUUGGUGCCUUCGGGAACGCUGAGACAGGUGCUGCAUGGCUGUCGUCAGCUCGUGUUGUGAAAUGUUGGGUUAAGUCCGCAACGAGCGCAACCCUUAUCCUUUGUUGCCAGCGAUUCGGUCGGGAACUCAAAGGAGACUGCCGGUGAUAAACCGGAGGAAGGUGGGGAUGACGUCAAGUCAUCAUGGCCCUUACGAGUAGGGCUACACACGUGCUACAAUGGCGCAUACAAAGAGAAGCGACCUCGCGAGAGCAAGCGGACCUCAUAAAGUGCGUCGUAGUCCGGAUCGGAGUCUGCAACUCGACUCCGUGAAGUCGGAAUCGCUAGUAAUCGUGGAUCAGAAUGCCACGGUGAAUACGUUCCCGGGCCUUGUACACACCGCCCGUCACACCAUGGGAGUGGGUUGCAAAAGAAGUAGGUAGCUUAACCUUCGGGGGGGCGCUUACCACUUUGUGAUUCAUGACUGGGGUGAAGUCGUAACAAGGUAGGCGUAGCGAG